RNAcentral lists this ribosomal RNA (465 nucleotides) under uncultured Klebsiella sp. RNAcentral describes it as "bacterial SSU rRNA". It matches the Rfam family "Bacterial small subunit ribosomal RNA", at positions 338 to 795 of the family's 1533-position model. Lineage: Bacteria; Pseudomonadati; Pseudomonadota; Gammaproteobacteria; Enterobacterales; Enterobacteriaceae. The record is from RNAcentral.
CCUACGGGGGGCUGCAGUGGGGAAUAUUGCACAAUGGGCGCAAGCCUGAUGCAGCCAUGCCGCGUGUGUGAAGAAGGCCUUCGGGUUGUAAAGCACUUUCAGCGGGGAGGAAGGCGGUGAGGUUAAUAACCUCAUCGAUUGACGUUACCCGCAGAAGAAGCACCGGCUAACUCCGUGCCAGCAGCCGCGGUAAUACGGAGGGUGCAAGCGUUAAUCGGAAUUACUGGGCGUAAAGCGCACGCAGGCGGUCUGUCAAGUCGGAUGUGAAAUCCCCGGGCUCAAACUGGGAACUGCAUUCGAAACUGGCAGGCUAGAGUCUUGUAGAGGGGGGUAGAAUUCCAGGUGUAGCGGUGAAAUGCGUAGAGAUCUGGAGGAAUACCGGUGGCGAAGGCGGCCCCCUGGACAAAGACUGACGCUCAGGUGCGAAAGCGUGGGGAGCAAACAGGAUUAGAUACCCUAGUAGUC